Molecule: long non-coding RNA, 753 nt
Organism: Dreissena polymorpha
Lineage: Eukaryota; Metazoa; Mollusca; Bivalvia; Myida; Dreissenidae
Exons: 4
Source: RefSeq, a predicted model, not a curated record
ACCAUGCUUAAUAUUCGGACUAUUUCCGGUUGACGAUUUUCGCGAACAAGCGUUUGUUCAAUCAGACGAAGUAAACAACAGCCGGUAAUUUCCAGAUCUUUGGAACCGCGUUUUCUUCUAGAACUUGGAAGCGUGUACUUUUAGUGAAUAUGUCAGGCAGAGACGGAGGCAAGAAGAAGCCACUCAAGCAACCCAAAAAGGACAAGGGUGAGAUGGAUGAGGAGGAUUUGGCAUUCAAAGAGAAGCAGAAGGAACAACAGAAGGCUAUGCAGGCUGCUAAAGAAAAGGCUUCACAAAAGGGGCCAUUAGUUGGUGGUGGCAUAAAAAAGUCUGGCAAAAAGUGACACUCGAUUUAUAUCGCCAUGUAACCUCAUCUUCAUCAAAAAAAAAUUGUGUACCUGAUAUGUGGGCAUUUCUUGUUCUUUCUAAUGGUGGAAAAAGCAUAAAAUAAUGUUCAUCAUGUGUAAAUUGAAGUAUUGAUUUCAUUAUAAAUUCAAAGGUUCAAAACUCUGUUGAUUGAACAGAAUUAUUUAUUAAACCCGUGCAAUUUGGCAAAUGUAUUUUUAAUCAUUUGAGUUUUAUACAUGUAUCCUGUGUUCUGAAACGUACCUGUAAAUUAUUACAUAAAUAUAGGAUGGAAUACUUGAGAACUUUUGACAGAUUUAUUUGCAAUUCAUAAAAAAUGCUUCUUUAAUUGCUUUGAAUGUGUCUUUUAACUGUAAAUAAACCAUUUGAAUAAAAUUUUGAUAAGUA